RNAcentral lists this ribosomal RNA (432 nucleotides) under uncultured bacterium. Its description in RNAcentral is "partial 16S ribosomal RNA". It matches the Rfam family "Bacterial small subunit ribosomal RNA", at positions 29 to 507 of the family's 1533-position model. The record is from RNAcentral.
GCGAACGCUGGCGGCAUGCCUAACACAUGCCAGUCUAACGAGACCUUCGGGUCUAGUGGCGCACGGGUGCGUAACGCGUGGGAACCUGCCCUUAGGUUCGGCAUAACUCCCCGAAAGGGGUGCUAAUACCGGAUAAUGUCUUCGGACCAAAGAUUUAUCGCCUUUGGAUGGGCCCGCGUUGGAUUAGCUAGUUGGUAGGGUAAAAGCCUACCAAGGCGACGAUCCAUAGCUGGUCUGAGAGGAUGAUCAGCCACACUGGGACUGAGACACGGCCCAGACUCCUACGGGAGGCAGCAGUGGGGAAUAUUGGACAAUGGGCGAAAGCCUGAUCCAGCAAUGCCGCGUGAGUGAUGAAGGCCUUAGGGUUGUAAAGCUCUUUUACCCGGGAUGAUAAUGACAGUACCGGGAGAAUAAGCUCCGGCUAACUCCGUG